This 460-nucleotide long non-coding RNA is filed under the name Sus scrofa (pig). Its description in RNAcentral is "lncRNA (ENSSSCG00015033591.1)". Lineage: Eukaryota; Metazoa; Chordata; Mammalia; Artiodactyla; Suidae. The record is from RNAcentral.
UCCUCUGCGAGGCGUUUACACUUCUGAGGCCACCUCCAAAACCUUACGUAUACAAUAUUAAUUUUUGCCACAUCUGGGAACCGCUGGAUGUUAAGGGAACAACCCCACUCUGCUCCGUGAGUUCCCUGUGGACGUUAGCGGUGUGGAGGAGACCUUGGGGAGUGUGAACGGAUUGAGGACCAGGCGAUCUCUCUCCCAUUUGCUUUUCUGGGUGAUCUCAUGGAGCCUUGUGACUUCACCUGCAGCCUCUGGUCCCCAAGGCCCAGGCCUGAGCUCUCAUCCUUAUGCUCUGCAGCCUCAGCUGGGCUUGGGCAGCCCAGCUGAGUUUCCCCCUGCCAGCACAGCCUCACGUCACUCUGCUCGGGGCCACCCUGCUUCUGUACCUGGCCAGGACUGGUGCUUUCUUCAAUCAGAGCCACUGAAAAUGGGAAUGAGUCUGUGGAGAGGGGGCUUCCUGUGA